UUCCUUCUUUUCCUCUUUUCCUGCCCUCCCCCUCAAUUUUUAAACAUUUUUUCCUUCCUCACCCCACCUCCCUCUCAAUCGUGUUACUUCUUUUCUAUUCCAUAUGAUUUCUCGUGCCAAGUGCGUAAGUGAGUCUUGUAAUCUAGAAAAAGAAUCGUUCAAGAAAUAAGAAGUGUAACACGUUUAAAACAACGUCUCUGAAAAUAAAUCUGUAUCGAAGAUCCCCUCCCUCCCUCCCUCCCUCCCUCUUCUCACCCUUUUCUGUUUCUCCCUUCACCCUUAAAAUUAAAAAGAAACAAAAAAUAAUAAUAAUAAUAAUAAACGUGUAUCAAUGCGAUAUAUAAUGAACAAAUGUUAUUGGAAAAUGUACGGUGGUGAUUGGACGAAAAGUGAAAACAUUAUUUGUUUAUGGUGAAGACAAUGAAGAGAGAGAGAAAAAGAGAAAGAGAAAGAGAAAGAGAGAGAGAGAUAGUUAUCAAUAUAACAACGGUGUAUAUAAACAAAUUAGUUUGAUUCUUAACAUUCCUUGCCAAUUUAUCUCAAAGUUUCUCUCAUUGCAACAUUUCGUGUACUACUACUAUUACUCCUAUUAAUUAUGAAUAAUAUAUAUAUAUAUAUGUGUGUACGUAUAUAUAAAUGAUAUAUAUGUAUAUGUGUAUAUAAUUGUUAUGGUUACAUGUGUAUGUGUACGUGUUAAAGUUUUGUGAAUGAGAAGAGUUCGUAGAGUUUGACCUUGAAAAAUAAUAAUUACGAGCAAAGGAAACAUAGAAGUGAAGACGAACAGAAGGAUAUGUUCUUCUAUGUAUAUAUGUAUAUGUAUAUGCAUUAUACAUGUAUUUUUAUUUCUUCGAGAUAUAAUUAACCAGGGUAACGAUCUUUAGGUGAAAGUAAAUUGGAUCAAAUUGAAAAGGACUAUGGUAACGUUAAUGAAAAGAUGAUUCAUGAUAGAUGGAAAUCAAUUCAAUUGUAACAUUCCUAACUCGUGAAUUAUAUUACUACGAGAUUUACAUUAAGUGGAUUAAUUCUUGUCUAUUACAAGAAUUCGAUUACUAUCGAGUCAGCUUUAUUCAAUUUGGAAACAACCAUUACACUCCUAGAAAGAAAAAAAAAGAAAGAAACAAUCCCCUGAUCAAAGAUUGUUCGAAAAACAGUAAAAAAAAAGAAAAAAAAAGAUCAAAGUUACACCCUCGAAGAAAAUGUUGCCACAUUACGAGUAGGGGAAUUCCGUUUUAAGAAACUAAUCGAAGUUCCCAAGGAACAAGGUAAACCUUAACUAAUACGUUUAAGGAGAAGAAGGAUCAAGUAACAAAUCUUUUUUUGGGGGAAAAAAAUAACAGUGAACCACUUCUAAACGUUUUGACUUGAGGAAAGUGUAUUCUUUCAUUCUGCUCAUCACGAUAUUAUCAUCUAAUGAGUUUUUUUUUUGUUCAUCUAAAAGAUUGAGAAAACAAAGAUCUUAUUCGUUGGUGGGGUUUUUUUUUGUUUGUUUGUUAAUUAAUGUCAAGGAUACAUCGAAGAACGAUCAUCUUUCACAAAGAAAACAGAGAAUUGAUAUCAUCUAACAACAAUAUCAAUGAUUUAUUUUAUUAACAAAAAUAUCAACUCGAAGACACAUAUCUUUCGAUUGGAAUAAUCGAUAAACAAACAUGGCUUAUUAAAUUUUCAUUUGAUUAAAACUUGGACAAAUUUAUGGUCAAAAAAAAAAAAAAAAAAUAAAAGAAUUA
This 1724-nucleotide long non-coding RNA is filed under the name Polistes dominula (European paper wasp). RNAcentral's name for it is "uncharacterized LOC107066882, transcript variant X1". The record is from RNAcentral. Lineage: Eukaryota; Metazoa; Arthropoda; Insecta; Hymenoptera; Vespidae.